GGAUUUAGAAAAGUUUUGGAUUCAUCUGUUUAUGAGGAGGAAAAGAGGCCAAGAAAAGGCAGCAAUUUGUCCAUGUGCUUAAUUAGUGAGUGGCAGUGGCAGUAACCUGGUCUGCUGAGCUCCCUGGACUCCCUGAUCCCAGCUCAAAAUAGUUUCCAGUUUUCAUCUGCCAGUUGCUUCGGAGGCUUUUCUAAGGAAGACAGUUCAUAAAAUGACCCAGAAUUCAUCCUCCUUAGGUGAUAGGAUCAUUACUCCUUAUACACCCCCUAGGUCUCAGCCUAUGAACAAACACUUGUUUGUUUCUCUGUCUACCCUGUUCCAAACCACCGAACUGGAUUUUGCCAACAAGAAGAGCUGUUUCCUGUGCCUGCCCCUGAGAGCUGAUGGCUUCCCAGAGAUGCCUCACAGUCCUGCGCAGACAGAGAGAAUGCAGAAGCUGGCAAAGGAUCCUCCACACGCAAGAUCAGAGGACGUCCCAGAUCAUCUUUUCUUUGUGGAUACUGCAGGUCUACGUGAAAUAGUGUGUUUUUGCGGGGUGCUGUCCCUUAGGACAAGUGAAGGGCUGAUGAGAAAGGAAACUGCGUGAGGUAUCACAAAGCCAUCCAUGGGGCAGCCUAUGAAAGUAUGUUCACACGGAGGGAAAAUAUCAGUGUUCAUAUAUCCCUUUUAGUGCUGCCUUCCCUUUUCCACUCCCACACCACCCCCAAAACAUUUUAAAAAGUUAGUUUUGGAAGACUGACUUUGUCUUAUUCUAAAAUGUGUGCACAGUAACAGAAGUGAGAAAGUCAUUCCAGUCUUCAUCUAGUCACCUGAGUCACAACUUUAAUGCAGCUUCUUUUUGUUCCUCAAUCUUUGAUUACAUAAUCAUUUGCAAAAAUACACUCCUGAAAUGAAAUCACAGUUAGCCUUGCAUUUUGGAGUAGUAUUAGAAUUAAGACUUGCCAUCAAAGAGGUUGCCAUCUAGAAUGUUUAUUCUCUUUACUGUGCCCCAGGGGUUUUACAUGCAUUUGCAACUUUAUUUUUAUUUUAUCCUACAGGAAAAAAGGCUCAGAGUGAAUGGCUAUUAGCCUAAGGUUACUCAGCUAGUGAUAUAGGAGUUAAGAAGAAAUUAUUUAGGCAGAUAGUGAGGGUACUGGAGUCCUCAGAAAGGUUUUCCUUUUAAUGAAAAGCAGCCCCAAAAUCAUUUUCUUUUCUAACAAAGAGCAGCCUGUAAAAUCGAGCUGCAGACAUAGACAAGCAAGCUAGAAGCUUGCACAGGCGAAUGCCUGCAGUUGUGCCAACAGGAAAAGGCUACCUGGAACUAGGCAUGUUCAAAAUGGCAGCUCUGUCUUCUCUUCUCUUUGCCAGCCAGGUGUACAGUAAGGAGCAGACAACAUGGCACUGGCCAAGUGGAAAGGCUGUUUGCAUAAUAAGAUUACGAUGGGGUGGCCUGCCUUCCCUGUGUGCUACGUAAACAUCACACCUGAUCCAACCAAUCUGCAGGCCCUACAUAAAUCAGACACCGCCUCCUCCAGCCUGCCUAUAAAAUCUGGUACACUCCACGUGGGCCAGAAGUCCCAUUUGGAUGCCCCUCUCUUUCGCAAGAGAGAGAGCUGUUCUCCUUUCUCUUUCUUUUGCCUAUUACAUUCCGCUCCUAAAGUCACUUCUCAUGUAUGUCCACGUCCUUAAUCUUCUUGAUGCAAGACAAUGAACCCGGGUAUUUACCCCAGACAACAACACCACUUCACUAGGAGUUAAAAGAACUUGAAAUGCAAAUUCAUGGUCAUCUGGUUCCAAAGCCCAUAUUAACAAAAUUUUUUUAAUUGUGAUAAAAUACACAUAACAUAAAGUUGACCGUGUUAACUGUUUUUAAAUGUACAGUCCAGUAGUGUUAAGUACAUUCACAUUGUUGGGCAAUCCUUCUUCAGAACUUUUUAAGUUUCCCAAACUGAAGCUCUGCGUCUAUUAAGAACAACUCUUUCUUCCAAUCCCCAGCUGUUGGCAACUAUCAUUCUACUUUCUGUCUUUAUGCAUUUAAUAAUUCUACGUACCUCAUAUAAAUGAAAUCAAAUGGUAUUUGUAACUGGCUUAUUUCACUUAGCAUAAUAUCCUCAAGAUUCAGUCAUAUUGUUAUAUGUGUCAUAAAUUGCAUUUGUAAUAUCACAAACUACACCUUGAUAUAUUGUCUACUGAUUAGCAUGGAUUUAUAAUUAUUUUUAUGCUUUGCCUUCUACAUUCUAUAAAAGAAUAAAAAGUUGAGUUAAAAACCAAAAUUAUAAUAAUGAAA
Homo sapiens (human) is the source of this 2266-nucleotide long non-coding RNA. Ensembl annotates it as long intergenic non-protein coding RNA 2817. The record is from Ensembl. Lineage: Eukaryota; Metazoa; Chordata; Mammalia; Primates; Hominidae.